AUACGGAGGGUGCAAGCGUUAAUCGGAAUUACUGGGCGUAAAGGGCGCGUAGGCGGUCUAUCAAGUCAGGUGUGAAAUCCCACGGCUCAACCGUGGAGGUGCAUCUGAAACUGAUAGACUUGAGUAUGGGAGAGGAAAGUGGAAUUCCCGGUGUAGAGGUGAAAUUCGUAGAUAUCGGGAGGAACACCAGUGGCGAAGGCGACUUUCUGGACCAAUACUGACGCUGAGGCGCGAAAGCGUGGGGAGCAAACAGGAUUAGAUACCCCAGUAGUCC
Molecule: ribosomal RNA, 274 nt
Filed under: uncultured bacterium
Lineage: Bacteria
Description: partial 16S ribosomal RNA
Rfam family: Bacterial small subunit ribosomal RNA
Source: RNAcentral